UGCCAGCAGCCGCGGUAAUACGGAGGGGACUAGCGUUGUUCGGAAUUACUGGGCGUAAAGCGCACGUAGGCGGAUUGAUCAGUCAGGGGUGAAAUCCCGGGGCUCAACCCCGGAACUGCCUCCAAAACUAUCAGUCUAGAGUUCGAGAGAGGUGAGUGGAACUCCGAGUGUAGAGGUGAAAUUCGUAGAUAUUCGGAAGAACACCAGUGGCGAAGGCGGCUAACUGGCUCGGUACUGACGCUGAGAUGCGAAAGCGUGGGGAGCAAACAGGAUUAGAUA
This 279-nucleotide ribosomal RNA is filed under the name uncultured bacterium. RNAcentral's name for it is "partial 16S ribosomal RNA". It matches the Rfam family "Bacterial small subunit ribosomal RNA", at positions 506 to 784 of the family's 1533-position model. The record is from RNAcentral.